UGGGGAAUAUUGGACAAUGGGCGCAAGCCUGAUCCAGCCAUGCCGCGUGAGUGAUGAAGGCCUUAGGGUUGUAAAGCUCUUUUGUCCGGGAAGAUAAUGACUGUACCGGAAGAAUAAGCCCCGGCUAACUCCGUGCCAGCAGCCGCGGUAAUACGAAGGGGGCUAGCGUUGCUCGGAAUCACUGGGCGUAAAGGGCGCGUAGGCGGACUUUUAAGUCGGGGGUGAAAGCCCAGGGCUCAACCCUGGAAUUGCCUUCGAUACUGGGAGUCUUGAGUUCGGAAGAGGUUGGUGGAACUGCGAGUGUAGAGGUGAAAUUCGUAGAUAUUCGCGAGAACACCGGGGGCGAAGGCGGCCAACUGGUCCGAAACUGACGCUGGGGCGCGAAAGCGUGGGGAGCAAACAGG
This 404-nucleotide ribosomal RNA is filed under the name Actinomycetes bacterium. RNAcentral's name for it is "Actinobacteria bacterium partial 16S ribosomal RNA". It matches the Rfam family "Bacterial small subunit ribosomal RNA", at positions 355 to 776 of the family's 1533-position model. Lineage: Bacteria; Bacillati; Actinomycetota; Actinomycetes. The record is from RNAcentral.